UUUUAGAGUGUGGUGUAGCGGGUAGCACGAAGAAUUUUGAAUUCUUAAGGGUAGGUUCAAUACCUAUGGCUCUAG
This 75-nucleotide transfer RNA is filed under the name Daubentonia madagascariensis (aye-aye). Its description in RNAcentral is "transfer RNA-Gln". It matches the Rfam family "tRNA". Rfam says of the family: Transfer RNA (tRNA) molecules are approximately 80 nucleotides in length. Their secondary structure includes four short double-helical elements and three loops (D, anti-codon, and T loops). Further hydrogen bonds mediate the characteristic L-shaped molecular structure. tRNAs have two regions of fundamental functional importance: the anti-codon, which is responsible for specific mRNA codon recognition, and the 3' end, to which the tRNAs corresponding amino acid is attached (by aminoacyl-tRNA synthetases). tRNAs cope with the degeneracy of the genetic code in two manners: having more than one tRNA (with a specific anti-codon) for a particular amino acid; and 'wobble' base-pairing, i.e. permitting non-standard base-pairing at the 3rd anti-codon position. Lineage: Eukaryota; Metazoa; Chordata; Mammalia; Primates; Daubentoniidae. The record is from RNAcentral.